Molecule: ribosomal RNA, 253 nt
Filed under: uncultured bacterium
Lineage: Bacteria
Description: partial 16S ribosomal RNA
Rfam family: Bacterial small subunit ribosomal RNA
Source: RNAcentral
UACGUAGGGUCCGAGCGUUGUCCGGAAUUAUUGGGCGUAAAGGGCUCGUAGGCGGUCUGUCGCGUCGGGCGUGAAAUUUUACAGCUUAACUGUGAACGUGCUUUCGAUACGGGCAGACUGGAGGUAUGCAGGGGAGAACGGAAUUCCUGGUGUAGCGGUGAAAUGCGCAGAUAUCAGGAGGAACACCAAUAGCGAAGGCAGCUCGCUGGAACGUUACUGACACUGAGGCGCGAAAGCGUGGGGAGCGAACAGG